AUUGCAGAUAUUCGUGAAUCAUCGAAUCCUUUGAACGCACAUUGCGCCCUCUGGUAUUCCGGAGGGCAUGCCUGUUUGAGCGUCGUUUCUCCCUCAAACCGCUGGGUUUGGUGUUGAGCAAUACGACUUGGGUUUGCUUGAAAGACGGUAGUGGUAAGGCGGGAUCGCUUUGACAAUGGCUUAGGUCUAACCAAAAACAUUGCUUGCGGCGGUAACGUCCACCACGUAUAUCUUCAAACUUUGACCUCAAAUCAGGUAGGACUACCCGCUGAACUUAAGCAUAU
RNAcentral lists this unclassified non-coding RNA (284 nucleotides) under Candida albicans. RNAcentral describes it as "sequence contains ITS1, 5.8S rRNA gene, ITS2, 28S rRNA gene". The stretch from base 1 to 85 matches the Rfam family "5.8S ribosomal RNA", at positions 71 to 154 of the family's 154-position model. Lineage: Eukaryota; Fungi; Ascomycota; Pichiomycetes; Serinales; Debaryomycetaceae. The record is from RNAcentral.